GGGUGCGAUCAUACCAGCACUAAUGCACCGGAUCCCAUCAGAACUCCGCAGUUAAGCGUGCUUCGGCGAGAGUAGUACUAGGAUGGGUGACCUCCUGGGAAGUCCUCGUGUUGCACCCC
RNAcentral lists this ribosomal RNA (119 nucleotides) under Gossypium raimondii (Peruvian cotton). Lineage: Eukaryota; Viridiplantae; Streptophyta; Magnoliopsida; Malvales; Malvaceae. RNAcentral also lists the same sequence under 2 other names. The record is from RNAcentral.